Molecule: ribosomal RNA, 432 nt
Filed under: uncultured bacterium
Lineage: Bacteria
Description: partial 16S ribosomal RNA
Rfam family: Bacterial small subunit ribosomal RNA
Source: RNAcentral
AGCGAACGCUGGCGGCAGGCCUAACACAUGCAAGUCGAACGAACUCUUCGGAGUUAGUGGCGGACGGGUGAGUAACACGUGGGAACGUGCCUUUAGGUUCGGAAUAACUCAGGGAAACUUGUGCUAAUACCGAAUGUGCCCUUCGGGGGAAAGAUUUAUCGCCUUUAGAGCGGCCCGCGUCUGAUUAGCUAGUUGGUGAGGUAAAGGCUCACCAAGGCGACGAUCAGUAGCUGGUCUGAGAGGAUGAUCAGCCACAUUGGGACUGAGACACGGCCCCAACUCCUGCGGGAGGCAGCAGUGGGGAAUCUUGCGCAAUGGGCGAAAGCCUGACGCAGCCCUGCCGCGUGAAUGAUGAAGGUCUUAGGAUUGUAAAAUUCUUUCACCGGGGACGAUAAUGACGGUACCCGGAGAAGAAGCCCCGGCUAACUUCGU